Molecule: ribosomal RNA, 403 nt
Filed under: Verrucomicrobiota bacterium
Lineage: Bacteria; Pseudomonadati; Verrucomicrobiota
Description: Verrucomicrobia bacterium partial 16S ribosomal RNA
Rfam family: Bacterial small subunit ribosomal RNA
Source: RNAcentral
UGGGGAAUAUUGCACAAUGGGCGCAAGCCUGAUGCAGCAACGCCGCGUGAACGAUGAAGGUCUUCGGAUCGUAAAGUUCUGUUGCAGGGGAAGAUAAUGACGGUACCCUGUGAGGAAGCCCCGGCUAACUACGUGCCAGCAGCCGCGGUAAUACGUAGGGGGCUAGCGUUAUCCGGUUUUACUGGGCGUAAAGGGUGCGUAGGUGGUCUUUCAAGUCGGUGGUUAAAGGCUACGGCUCAACCGUAGUUAGCCUCCGAAACUGGAAGACUUGAGUGCAGGAGAGGAAAGUGGAAUUCCCAGUGUAGCGGUGAAAUGCGUAGAUAUUGGGAGGAACACCAGUAGCGAAGGCGGCUUUCUGGACUGCAACUGACACUGAGGCACGAAAGCGUGGGUAGCAAACAGG